RNAcentral lists this unclassified non-coding RNA (378 nucleotides) under soil metagenome. RNAcentral describes it as "partial contains 5.8S ribosomal RNA, internal transcribed spacer 2, and large subunit ribosomal RNA". The stretch from base 1 to 120 matches the Rfam family "5.8S ribosomal RNA", at positions 35 to 154 of the family's 154-position model. The record is from RNAcentral.
GAUGAAGAACGUAGCGAAAUGCGAUAAGUAAUGUGAAUUGCAGAAUUCAGUGAAUCAUCGAAUCUUUGAACGCACCUUGCACUCCUUGGUAUUCCGAGGAGUAUGCUUGUUUGAGAGUAAUGUAAUCAUCAAUCCUCCUUUACUUUUGUGAAGUUGGCUUGGAUUUGGGGAUUGCUGGCCUUUCAUUAGGUCCUGGCUUCCCUUGAAUGCAUUAGUUGAAUCAAGUUACAACGUUACGUGUGGUGUGAUAAUAUCUUCGCUGCAUAGUUGUAAUGAAGUUUGGCUUCUAACAGUCCUUCACUGGACAAUACUUUGAACAAUGUACCUCAAAUCAAGUAGGACUACCCGCUGAACUUAAGCAUAUCAAUAAGCGGAGGA